This 483-nucleotide ribosomal RNA is filed under the name uncultured bacterium. RNAcentral's name for it is "partial 16S ribosomal RNA". It matches the Rfam family "Bacterial small subunit ribosomal RNA", at positions 30 to 506 of the family's 1533-position model. The record is from RNAcentral.
AUUGAACGCUGGCGGCAGGCCUAACACAUGCAAGUCGAGCGGAUGAAGGGAGCUUGCUCCUGGAUUCAGCGGCGGACGGGUGAGUAAUGCCUAGGAAUCUGCCUGGUAGUGGGGGAUAACGUCCGGAAACGGGCGCUAAUACCGCAUACGUCCUGAGGGAGAAAGUGGGGGAUCUUCGGACCUCACGCUAUCAGAUGAGCCUAGGUCGGAUUAGCUAGUUGGUGGGGUAAAGGCCUACCAAGGCGACGAUCCGUAACUGGUCUGAGAGGAUGAUCAGUCACACUGGAACUGAGACACGGUCCAGACUCCUACGGGAGGCAGCAGUGGGGAAUAUUAGACAAUGGGCGAAAGCCUGAUCCAGCCAUGCCGCGUGUGUGAAGAAGGUCUUCGGAUUGUAAAGCACUUUAAGUUGGGAGGAAGGGCAGUAAGUUAAUACCUUGCUGUUUUGACGUUACCAACAGAAUAAGCACCGGCUAACUUCGU